Tupaia belangeri chinensis (Chinese tree shrew) is the source of this 955-nucleotide long non-coding RNA. RefSeq lists it as uncharacterized. The record is from RefSeq and is a predicted model, not a curated record. The transcript is spliced from 3 exons. Lineage: Eukaryota; Metazoa; Chordata; Mammalia; Scandentia; Tupaiidae.
AGAACUCUUCAGCUUGCAAAACUGACUCUGCGCCUAUAAACCCUCAGCCCUCAGCCCUCCCUACCCCAGCCCUGGCACCCAGCAUCCUCCUUCCUGCCUCCGUGAAGCUGACUACUCCAUGUAAGUGGGACCACACGGCGUUUGUCCUUUACGCCUGGUCUACUUGACUCAGCAUGAUGUCCUCGAGGUUUAUCCGCGUUGCAACACGGGUCCGAAUUUUCUCCUCUUUGCAAGCUGAAGAGUGCUCCAUUGUAUGUACAUACCACAUCUCUUUCCACUCUCCUCCUGUGGACACUCGGCUUGCUUCCUCCUUUCUCCUGUUGUGAGCAAUGCCGUACCUCGAUGGGUGCACAAACAUCUGUUUGCGGGCUGCUUUCGAUCUGUUGCUAUCACAGAUCAGAGGGUCAUUGUAGUUUAAGGAGCCGUCAUACUAGUUCCACGGAAGUAGAGCGUCGGCAUCCCCACCGGCAAUGCACAGGGUCCCCAUUUCACCAGACCUCUGCCAGCAUUUGCAAUUUUCUGUCUGUGGAUAAGAGUCAUCCUAACAGAACUACAGCUUCUACAAAACAGCAAGCCUAGAGGCAAGAAGACCCAGAUGUCCUCUGGAAACCAGGAGCUGAGCCAGGCCAAAGCGGCGGGAUAUUGUAUGGAGUAGCCGGCAUUCCACUUGGCCAGAUGGAGCACUUCGCACGAGGAUUACUCCAACAACAGUCUGAUCAGCGGGAUUAUCUACUAUGCAUAAAACUUAAAAUGAACAUAUUCUUUGUCUAGUACUCCAGUACUCCUACUUUAUGAAUUUGCCCAAAAAGGGCAAUUAUGUUGGUGGAAUAAAAUUUUAAAUCAUUAUGUAAGUUUCAGAUAAUACAAGCAGUAUAUCUUGUUUUUCUUUUAAAGCACAUAAAACAAGGUUACAGUUACAUAUAUAGUAAAAUAAAUCAUGCAUAAGAAUGAUAAA